This 224-nucleotide long non-coding RNA is filed under the name Nicotiana benthamiana. RNAcentral's name for it is "long non-coding RNA (NBEN_LNC014674)". Lineage: Eukaryota; Viridiplantae; Streptophyta; Magnoliopsida; Solanales; Solanaceae. The record is from RNAcentral.
GUUACUGGGUUAGGAAGUAAAGAACAUGUUUUCUUACUUACACUCUCUUUGGCGUUUAUCUUAAGAAUAACUUUUUCCUCACCCUUAGCCUCUUUUCUCUCUCUAAAGUUUUCUUCUUUUUCUUCACUAAAACCCUCAUGUUUUUCUCUCUCUACCUCACAUACUUUUGUUAUCUCAUUGCCUUUCCUCUUUUCUUUUCCCUCAAGCUCACUCUUUUUCUCACU